RNAcentral lists this ribosomal RNA (253 nucleotides) under uncultured bacterium. RNAcentral's name for it is "partial 16S ribosomal RNA". It matches the Rfam family "Bacterial small subunit ribosomal RNA", at positions 524 to 776 of the family's 1533-position model. The record is from RNAcentral.
UACGAAGGGGGCUAGCGUUGCUCGGAAUGACUGGGCGUAAAGGGCGCGUAGGCGGUUUGUACAGUCAGAUGUGAAAUUCCUGGGCUCAACCUGGGGGCUGCAUUUGAUACGUGCGGACUAGAGUGGGGAAGAGGGUCGUGGAAUUCCCAGUGUAGAGGUGAAAUGCGUAGAUAUCGGGAGGAACACCAGUGGCGAAGGCGGCGACCUGGGCAGAUACUGACACUGAGGUGCGAAAGCGUGGGGAGCAAACAGG